This 257-nucleotide long non-coding RNA is filed under the name Hordeum vulgare. RNAcentral describes it as "long non-coding RNA (HVUL_LNC015970)". Lineage: Eukaryota; Viridiplantae; Streptophyta; Magnoliopsida; Poales; Poaceae. The record is from RNAcentral.
UGAUUGUUGUUUUCGGGUUGUUUCUUAUUGUUAGAGUUUCGAACCGCUUCGAAGUAUGAGGAUUCGUUUGACUAUGUUGGUUCGUCUGCUUCACGGAGUCGUUCUUCUUCCAAGCGGGAUCAUAUGCGAGAUGAUCAUUUCUCUAGAUACCACUACUAUCAUUGCUAUGCUAGUUGUCUUGCUUCUAUCGUUAUUUCUCACUGCCUACCAUCUGUUAUGUUAAGCAUCCCAACAUUGCCAUGAAAAGCCUCUAACCC